Molecule: ribosomal RNA, 253 nt
Filed under: uncultured bacterium
Lineage: Bacteria
Description: partial 16S ribosomal RNA
Rfam family: Bacterial small subunit ribosomal RNA
Source: RNAcentral
UACGGAGGGUGCAAGCGUUGCUCGGAAUUAUUGGGCGUAAAGCGUAUGUAGGCGGUUUUCUAAGUCUGAUGUGAAAUCCCAGGGCUUAACUCUGGAACUGCAUCGGAUACUGGAAAGCUAGAGGACGAUAGAGGAUGGUGGAAUUCCUGGUGUAGGGGUGAAAUCCGUAGAUAUCAGGAGGAACAUCAGUGGCGAAGGCGGCCAUCUGGAUCGUACCUGACGCUGAGAUACGAAAGCGUGGGGAGCAAACAGG